RNAcentral lists this ribosomal RNA (1015 nucleotides) under uncultured archaeon. Its description in RNAcentral is "bacterial SSU rRNA". It matches the Rfam family "Archaeal small subunit ribosomal RNA", at positions 474 to 1336 of the family's 1478-position model. The record is from RNAcentral.
CACCAGCGCCACGAGUGGGAACCGCAUUUACUUGGCCUAAAGCGUCCGUAGCCGGUUUGAUAAAUUUUUUGUGAAGUUGUUGGACUUAAUCUAACAACGUGCAGAAAAGACUGUCAAACUUGGAACUGGGAGGAGUUAGGGGAAUUCUGAGGGGAGCGGUAAAAUGCUAUAAUCCUCGGAGGACCACCUGUGGCGUCGACACACGCGUUAGUAUGUGUUGCUACAUAAGGCGCCUAACUAGAACAGUUUCGACGGUGAGGGACGAAAGCCAGGGGAGCGAUCCGGAUUAGAUUUUGUGAAGAAUAAAUGUUCAAUUUAACUACGCUUCGCAACUAAAAACCCGAGUAGUCCUGGCUGUAAACUCUGCGAGCAAGGUGUUGCACAUUCUACGUGAAUGUACAGUGUCGAAAUGAAGAUGUUAAGCUCGCCGCCUGGGAAGUACGGUCGCAAGACUGAAACUUAAAGGAAUUGGCGGGGGAGCACUACAAGGGGUGCGGCGUGCGGUUUAAUCUAAUUCAACGCAGAAAAUCUCACCAGGAGCGACGGCAGGAUGAAAGUCAGGUUAAAGGCCUUACUAGACAAGCCGAGAGGUAGUGCAUGGCCGUCGUCAGCUCGUGCCGUAGCCUUAAUUGCAUAAGCAAUUAUGGCGGCAUAGGUGUCCUGUUAACUUCUCUAAGGGAGUUUCAUAGUGAACUUAGGGAGCGACAGAAAGUCAGGCAACGAGCAAGACCUGUACUCACAAUUGCUAACAAGUCUUUUAAGAUGAUUGAGCACAUUGUGGGGACUGCCUUCGAAAGGAGGAGGAAGGUGCAGGCUACGAUAGGUCUGUAUGCUCCGAAUCUUCUGGGCUACACGCGCGCAACAAUGGUAGAGACAAUGGGAUACAACUCCGAAAGGAGAAGUUAAACCUCGAAACUCUAUCUUAGUCCAGAUCGAGGACUGUAACUCGUCCUCGUGACGAUGGAAUCCCUAGUAAUCAGAGUUCAUCAUACUCUGGUGAAUAUGUCCCUGCUCC